Lycium barbarum (goji berry) is the source of this 410-nucleotide long non-coding RNA. RefSeq lists it as uncharacterized. The record is from RefSeq and is a predicted model, not a curated record. Lineage: Eukaryota; Viridiplantae; Streptophyta; Magnoliopsida; Solanales; Solanaceae. The transcript has 2 exons.
UAAUUUUCUCAAAUUUCAUGCUUCCUUGUACUUUAAUUUUCUCAGAAUUGAAUAUUUUGUGUGAACUUUGCCCUCAUUUUCUUCGGUUCCCUCAUUUAGCUGUGUCAAAGGCAUCUCUAUCACUCACUCUGGCAUAGAAAUCGACAGCCAAGUGAUGCGGCUAGUGGAUCCCUUUCACCCAUGGACGCUAGAAGAUCAUGCGGUGAUAGUAAUCCUAGUGACAACCGUUGAUUUCAUUGUAUUGUAUGGUAGGAACAAAUGUUAGAAUGUUGGAGUGAAUGUAUUGUGUUUAAACUUAGUUUUUGAGUCUGAUGAUGCUACUUAAAUUUUUAGUUUAAAAAACUAAUGGUACUUUAUGAUAACAUUUGUGAUUUUACGAUAUGUUAUCGAUAUCUCUUAAAGUUUUAAAA